RNAcentral lists this ribosomal RNA (253 nucleotides) under uncultured bacterium. Its description in RNAcentral is "partial 16S ribosomal RNA". It matches the Rfam family "Bacterial small subunit ribosomal RNA", at positions 524 to 776 of the family's 1533-position model. The record is from RNAcentral.
UACAGAGGUCCCGAGCGUUGUUCGGAUUCACUGGGCGUAAAGGGUGCGUAGGUGGUGAGGUAAGUCGGAUGUGAAAUCCCCGGGCUUAACCUGGGAACUGCGUUUGAAACUACAAGGCUAGAGUGUGGCAGAGGGGGGUGGAAUUCCACGUGUAGCAGUGAAAUGCGUAGAGAUGUGGAGGAACACCGAUGGCGAAGGCAGCCCCCUGGGUUAACACUGACGCUCAGGCACGAAAGCGUGGGGAGCAAACAGG